This 314-nucleotide long non-coding RNA is filed under the name Homo sapiens (human). RNAcentral's name for it is "HSALNT0141098". The record is from RNAcentral. Lineage: Eukaryota; Metazoa; Chordata; Mammalia; Primates; Hominidae.
UAUUGUAAGGGUAAUUGGGAGCCAUUGGAGAUUCUAAGGCAAGGGACCAACGUGAUCCUCUUUAUGUGUCAGAAGCUCUCUUUGGCCAUGACGUGGAGAAGCGAUUGUAUAGGGCAGAGAAUGGAAUCAGAGAGAUCAGUUAGAAGGUUAUUGUCUUAUAAUCCAGGUGAUAGGCUUGAACCAGGGUGGCAAUGGAGGAAGAGGAGGAGAACGGGUGAGAUCCUGGAUACAUUUCAGAGGGAAUCUUGCAAUGAUAAUUUUCCUGAAGUACAUAAGAGGAUGGUUGGUGACCUAACCAUGGAGUGGGCCUGCCU